AGAAUCAACGCUGGCGGCGUGCCUAACACAUGCAAGUCGCACGAGAAAGGGACUUCGGUCCUGAGUACAGUGGCGCACGGGUGAGUAACACGUGAAUAAUCUACCUCCGAGUGGGGAAUAACUGAGAGAAAUCUUAGCUAAUACCGCAUAACACUUACGAGUCAAAGCAGCAAUGCGCUUGGAGAGGAGUUCGCGGCAGAUUAGUUAGUUGGCGGGGUAAUGGCCCACCAAGACGAUGAUCUGUAUCCGGCCUGAGAGGGCGCGACGGACGACGACUGGAACUGAAACACGGUCCAGACUCCUACGGGAGGCAGCAGUGGGGAAUUUUGCGCAAUGGGGGAAACCCUGACGCAGCAACGCCGCGUGGAGGAUGAAAUAUCUUGGUAUGUAAACUCCUUUCGAUGGGGAAGAUAAUGACGGUACCCAUAGAAGAAGCCCCGGCUAACUUCGUGCCAGCAGCCGC
This 463-nucleotide ribosomal RNA is filed under the name uncultured bacterium. RNAcentral's name for it is "SSU rRNA". It matches the Rfam family "Bacterial small subunit ribosomal RNA", at positions 26 to 518 of the family's 1533-position model. The record is from RNAcentral.